GCGAGCUUGCCUAGAUGAUUUUAGUGCUUGCACUAAAUGAAACUAGAUACAAGCGAGCGGUGGACGGGUGAGUAACACGUGGGUAACCUGCCCAAGAGACUGGGAUAACACCUGGAAACAGAUGCUAAUACCGGAUAACAACACUAGACGCAUGUCUAGAGUUUGAAAGAUGGUUCUGCUAUCACUCUUGGAUGGACCUGCGGUGCAUUAGCUAGUUGGUAAGGUAACGGCUUACCAAGGCAAUGAUGCAUAGCCGAGUUGAGAGACUGAUCGGCCACAUUGGGACUGAGACACGGCCCAAACUCCUACGGGAGGCAGCAGUAGGGAAUCUUCCACAAUGGACGAAAGUCUGAUGGAGCAACGCCGCGUGAGUGAAGAAGGGUUUCGGCUCGUAAAGCUCUGUUGGUAGUGAAGAAAGAUAGAGGUAGUAACUGGCCUUUAUUUGACGGUAAUUACUUAGAAAGUCACGGCUAACUACGUGCCAGCAGCCGCGGUAAUACGUAGGUGGCAAGCGUUGUCCGGAUUUAUUGGGCGUAAAGCGAGUGCAGGCGGUUCAAUAAGUCUGAUGUGAAAGCCUUCGGCUCAACCGGAGAAUUGCACCCCCCCCCCGUUGAACUUGAGUGCAGAAGACGAGACCCCAACUCCAUNUNUANCAAUAGAAUGCGUAGAUUUCUUGAGGAACAANNGNGGNGAAGGGGGNUNUANGGUNNGNAANNGANGNNAGGCUCGAAAACAUGGGGGCCCUCCAUGUAGAUANNNNNNAGUCCAACAAAAAAAGAAGCGUGAUGCUCUGGGAGGUUUCCGCCUCUCAGUGCUGCAGCUAACGCAUUAAGCACUCCGCCUGGGGAGUACGACCGCAAGGUUGAAACUCAAAGGAAUUGACGGGGGCCCGCACAAGCGGUGGAGCAUGUGGUUUAAUUCGAAGCAACGCGAAGAACCUUACCAGGUCUUGACAUCCAGUGCAAACCUAAGAGAUUAGGUGUUCCCUUCGGGGACGCUGAGACAGGUGGUGCAUGGCUGUCGUCAGCUCGUGUCGUGAGAUGUUGGGUUAAGUCCCGCAACGAGCGCAACCCUUGUCAUUAGUUGCCAUCAUUAAGUUGGGCACUCUAAUGAGACUGCCGGUGACAAACCGGAGGAAGGUGGGGAUGACGUCAAGUCAUCAUGCCCCUUAUGACCUGGGCUACACACGUGCUACAAUGGACGGUACAACGAGAAGCGAACCUGCGAAGGCAAGCGGAUCUCUUAAAGCUGUUCUCAGUUCGGACUGUAGGCUGCAACUCGCCUACACGAAGCUGGAAUCGCUAGUAAUCG
This 1311-nucleotide ribosomal RNA is filed under the name uncultured bacterium. RNAcentral describes it as "bacterial SSU rRNA". It matches the Rfam family "Bacterial small subunit ribosomal RNA", at positions 53 to 1344 of the family's 1533-position model. The record is from RNAcentral.